Molecule: ribosomal RNA, 641 nt
Filed under: Serbiona mehadiensis
Lineage: Eukaryota; Metazoa; Annelida; Clitellata; Crassiclitellata; Lumbricidae
Description: partial 16S ribosomal RNA
Source: RNAcentral
CCAUAAAUAAUCUUAUAAGCUUCAUAUUAAUAAAACACUUUUACAAUAUAACAUUUAUAACAAAUAAUAAUAAAAGUACUAAAAAGGAAUAAAAAACAAAUCAAAGUAAUGGUUAACCCAUAUACCUUGUGCAUUAUGGUUUUACAAGAACAAAAUUAAAAAUAUACUCCCGAAUUCUAUGCGAGCUGCUAUUUAUAUAGCUAAGAGCCCACUACCAGUUGUGGCAACAACUCUAGAAAAUAUAUUAGCAGAGGCUACAUACCACACGCGCUAGAAAAUUUCUGGUUUUCAGUAAAAUUUACAAAUAAACCAUACAGUAUAUAUACUGUAAUGUAAUAUUAUAGAGGAUAAGCCCUAUAAUAUAUAGCUAAUUAAAUUAGUUAUAAUGAUAACUUUAUAGGCUUAAAAUCAGCCAACAAUAAUACUUUACCGUAUCAAUCAACAAUAAAAUAAAUUAAAUAUAUACUGCUAAAAUAAACUGAAAUUUAAGUAAAACUAGUAAACUUAAAAUAUUAUGUAAAAAUAAGUAUUAGAAAACAACACCUCAAUUACCAAAUAAACAAUAUACAAGACCCAUAUAAAAUCUUAUAAAGAAACUCGGCAAAUAAUUAUUUCGACUGUUUAACAAAAACAUUGCUUCU